This 422-nucleotide ribosomal RNA is filed under the name uncultured bacterium. Its description in RNAcentral is "bacterial SSU rRNA". It matches the Rfam family "Bacterial small subunit ribosomal RNA", at positions 99 to 518 of the family's 1533-position model. The record is from RNAcentral.
CGGACGGGUGAGUAACGCGUGGAUAACCUGCCUCACACUGGGGGGAUAGCAGCUGGAAACGGCUGGUAAUACCGCAUAAGACCACAGCACCGCAUGGUGCAGGGGGUAAAAGAUUUUAUCGGGUGUGAGAUGGGAUCCCGCGUCUGAUUAGCCAGUUGGCGGGGUAACGGCCCACCAAAGCGACGAUCAGUAGCCGGCCUGAGAGGGUGAACGGCCACAUUGGGACUGAGACACGGCCCAAACUCCUACGGGAGGCAGCAGUGGGGAAUAUUGCACAAUGGGCGCAAGCCUGAUGCAAGCAACGCCGCGUGAGUGAAGAAGUAUUUCGGUAUGUAAAGCUCUAUCGGCAGGGAAGAAAGGCCCGAAAGGGAGAUGACGGUACCUGACUAAGAAGCCCCGGCUAACUACGUGCCAGCCGCCGC